CACCCCGCCCCCCACUUCCCUUUGCAGUACAGCAGAGCGCUGAUCAAUCAAAGCCCUCAUUUGGACGGUUAAUAUCUGCAGUUACAUUUUCUCCUGUUCUCUGCACUAGAUAAGCGCAUCACCUACUUCCUUAACAUUUUCAUCAGACAGUGCCCACUACUCAAAAGAUUUGUUCACUUAGAAGUUUCAUGUGCACAAAUGUAAUUUUGUAAGUAAGUCUUAUAUCAGAAUGACUGUACCCUCCUUGCUUUAGAGCAAGGAGAUGCUAUUCAACGGGCCCCUCUCCCCUUUUUACUUUAAUGUGCAUAAUUGCAAUUGUCCUUGCUUCUGUUGGAGUAGGAUUGCAUCUCCUCAUUCCCCCUUUGUAUUAGGGGCAUAUUAACUAUGAAUGAGCUCUUCUAUUGAGAUUAUUAAUGUGCAUAAUUAAUUGUACUUGUCAGAGUGCCAAUGCAGUAGGGAAGGUGCUGUGCUCUAUGCCCUUACCACUGCCUUUGAAUUACUGAUGAGGAGCUCCAUGAUCUCAGCUCUUCUGAUUAGAUAGGAUCCCAUACUUUCUUUGUAUACAUCAUGUAUGCCCCCUUCUGUUAAAAUAGGAUGCCAUUCCAUUAUAUCCCCUUGGCAUUACUGCAGGGGCUGCUGACCACACAAAACCUCUGCAAAUCUUAAUGGACACAAUGGCAAUUAGCAAUGGGUUUGUCCUCCCUGAUCUUAUUAGGCAAGCACUCCCAGCCCCAAUUUCUCAUGGCAUUAUAAAAUGUAAACAUUGCAGUAUGACCUUCAAAUAGCAACCCAUACUCCCACUUCUUUUGCAAUGCUCCAGGGCAUACAUUUUCAAGUAGUCAUGGUCCUACCCUUAUCUUCCCUCUCCCUACUCAUGCUUGUCCUUGGACCCUUCUGUGGACCAUUAAUAAUCACAAUUUCAGGGUGUCCAUGUAUCCAGCCAUUAGAUAGUAUUGUGGCCCCUCAUCCUUCCUGCCCCCGCUGUGCCUCACCCCGCCCUUUUGCAUUGCUGGUGGGGAAUGUUGACUGGGCAAGGCCCUUUCACUUGGACUUAAAUGUUAACAAUCCCAGAUGUCAUUGGUUUACCCAGUUUAUAUUGCUGUGGUGCUUCAGUUGCACUUUACUUGGUCCUGCCCAUCUGACAUGGACCCCUCCAUUUCCCUUUUUGCACUGCUUUGAAGUAAUGAUGACUACCCAAAGGCCCUUCUGUGUUUUUACUUAACACAGUACCGAUUGUCCCAUUUUUCAACCCAUCAACUCAAGACCUCCCUACCACUUUGAUGUUGUGUUUGUGCAGUGUUGAUUACCAAAAGCAGGCCUGAACUAGGUGGAUGGGCCUUCACUCCUUUUCUUGCAUUUGUUAAUAAUCCGAAUUCCAAUUAUUGUCCUAUUCUUGGGACAGGAGUUAUCUCUGCCCACCUCUGUUACUGCUUUACUGGGCAAAAUGCUCAAGGCAAGGCAAGCCCAAGGAGCUGGAUUGCCACCCUUUACAUUCUGGAUUUUCAAUAUACACUAUAUAAGUAUCAGUUGAGAGUUGUCUCCCCAGGAAGGAAGGUUAGCACUAUCUCUGCAUUUUUCCUUCCAAAGCAGGUUGCCUGGCUGAGAAUCUCUCCUCUUUGUAUAUUGCUAUUCUACAGAGUCAAUUGCCAGGAUACAACCAAAAGUUACUGCUAAUUUUUAUUAAGAAAGACAACUGGAUUGCAAGGUGGAAUUGAUAAACUGGGCAUUACAUUUUUGAAGUUAAAAACCCAUUUAUACCAUGUACCUGAUGACCAGUGUCUCUCAUUUUACUAAGGGUGGUGGGUCUGUGGAUAGACCACUGUGACUCUUGCUAUACCAAAGGAGUUCUAGAAUGGAACUCAAGACCAAUAUCUUUGGGCUCUACCACCAUUCUAAAACCAUGCCGUUUGGGUUUUACCACCAUUCACUUUUAGAAAAACUACCUAAAUUUCCUAAUCCUUAAAUUUCUUCAUCUGGAACACCAACCAGCCCCUACUUAUUUCAAGAAGAUAACUGUAAAAGGAUGAAAUGAGACAACAUAUACUGAGGUGCUUUUGAAAACCACAGAUCGCCUUAUUUGAUUAAUCUAUUACAUAAUGAGGACUUAAAAAUAAUGGGACCUGUUUCCCUGUUUUAUAUCAAAAGAAUAGUAAGCUAGCCAUUCUUCUGGAUAUAAACUUGUUUGACAGUGAGCUGCCUGGUAAAAAAUGAUUAGCCUAGCCUCUAGUGUACAGGUUUUGAUGGCAGAGAAGUAUUUAAUAAGGAACUACUGAAGCAAAUAACUAGACAUUACAACAGCAGUUCUUUGUAAUCACUGAAAAAGAAUACUAUUCCUCUGAGAAGGAUGUCAAAAGGUCAGCCCAGGUCAGGGUGCAGUUUGUACUUCUAGCUCCUUGGACAGCUGUAAGAAGAGUCUCUGGCUCUUUAGAAUUCUGGAUGAAUUCUGAGCCAGUUCUGAACCACUACUUAGGAAUGAUGGUCAAUUGUAGGUGGAUUGAAGCCUGCACUAGAAAGCAUCCAAAGGACAUUCUGGGCAUGUGAGACCUGAGGACUACAAUAAACUCUAAGGAGCUCCAUAUUCAUUACAUCUUUCCUUUUGAGAAUCUGGACAAGCUCCAAUUAAUUUAAGGAUGGCUUGCAGACUAUCUGAAGAAAAAGAUCUUCCUCAGAAGAAUAGGCUUGUUGCUUUACAGUGUUAGUGACCUAUUCCCUUUGACGAUCCCUAGGUGGAGAUGGGGCAUGAGGAUCCUCCAGGGGAAUAGCUCACUACCACUGGGCAACAACCCUAGGCCAGGAGGUUCUACCAAGAUUCUCUCCUGGGCCCAGAUAGGAAGGUGAAGUCUCAAGACAUCCUCCACACAUCAGAGCUCCUGGUUAUUCCCUUUAUAGUAUCUACCAAAUCGUUCAUCCUUCUGAAAAGCAAUCCAGAGAACGAGAAAUUUGAACACACCAAAGGAAGAUCAACAUGCCUGGCAUUCUAGCAUUUUAGAAUAGCAGAAUAAAUGUGUAUUUCUUUGCUUAUCUAUUUCUUCCUUGAAUGUCUUUGGUCUUUGUUCUCUCAAGUGUCUUACCCAAUUCUAUGAUCCUCUUGCUUAUUUCUUCUGUGUAUCUUUGUCUUGUUUUCUUUUUUGUUCAUAAGAGUUGUUUGUGCCUUGUCUUAGAUGUCUCUCAUUUUUUCAUUUUGUUACUAAUUAUCUUUGUUCUCCUAGCUCUUGUUCUUCUUUCACUGUUCUUCCCAUUGCCUCUGAGUCUCAUGCUAUAUGCUUUUUGCUCAUUCCUUGUCUUGUCCACCUCUAUUUUUCCCCUCUCUUUGUGAACUCUUGAUUGUUCUUCAUUCUCUCCUAUUUUGUUAGUUUGACAUUUUACCUAUUUCUGAUUCUGGCCUCCUUUCUGCUGUUUCUACUCUUCAUCUUGGAUUUCUCUCUUCUACAUGUCCUUUCUGCCUCUCUUGGGCCAUUUCCUUUCCUUUUUCCUGCUCUAUGUGUUUCUUUGUUCUUUGUGUCUUUCCAUUUCACCUUUCUUCUCUUCUCUCUGUUCUCUUGUUCUUUUGCUUUUUCCAUCCACCCACCUUUGGGUAUUUCAGCCUCUUCAUGAGUCUGUGUAUCCCACCUUUGAUUUCCUGCAAUCCUCUCUCCGUGCAUAUUUUUUGUAUAUGUGUGUGUGUACAUCCAUGUGUGCAUGUUUGCGACAAAGGGGCUUCGUAACCCCUUCCCAAUAGGUGCAGAGUGUCUUCUAUCAAAAUAAGCAUUGCAGAGCUGUUCCUUAUGCCAGGCCGUCCUGUGAGAUAAUUCAAAACUAGUAGAAGGCCCAAGUAUCCAAAGACCUAAGAUGUACAGAAGGUGGAAGGCCCAUAAUGGAUAUAAUUCCCAACACAGAAGACAGAAUUGAGACCUGUGGACUAAAGAAUAAAACCUGUGUCCCAAGAUAGAUGGAAACCUCAGCCUUGAGACCAUUAGAAGCCCUAGAGCCAUUAUGUACAUAAAGAAGGUGGCCCUUGUCAGACAACUGAGUUGGAUGGAAGUUCUCAUGUCUUGAGUUAGACAAAAAGCUGAAGACCCAAGAUGAAAGAACAAAGCCUAUGAGUGGGGAUACAUGGAAAGCCUGAGACCUGAGUCACAAAACCUGAGAUAAAAAAACUUAGCUUGAACACCGAAGACCCAAGGAUAGGAGGUGUCACACACACAUAAAGACCCAGGAGUCAAGCCUCUCUAUGUGGACUUGAAGACCCAAGAGAGACAGAUAUCUUAAGACUAAAUUAGGUGGAAAGCUGGAGUUCCAUGACCCUGAAUCUAGGAAGACUGGAAACCCCAAGACCAGAGGAAAUCCCAAUAUGAGGACCCUAAACCUCAGCUCUAUUCUGCUAUCCUCCCUACACUUGGACAUUUUCAGUUCUUCCUUUCCAGUAUUUAUACCUCCAUUUAAGCCCACUAAUUUUGUGAUAUCCUUUUUGAUGUUGUUAUUACCUUGAAGAGAUAUCUUGAGAUUGGCAAUAUUUUGCCUGGACCAGUGUAAGGUUGUUUUUAUUAUAGUUUUGAGUCAUUUAUUAACUUUUAGGUAUUUUUUAAACUUCUUUUUUUUUCAUCUCCACUCCGUUUGAGAGAGACAUAUUAGUGAAAUUGUAUUUCAGUCCUCCCUUUUCCUCAGAAGCUCUAGGCUGAUGAGAACAGGAAAUUGUCAGGCUAUGUAGAGAAAAUGUAAAGAGAUGCUCCAGGCCAAUAUGAACAUUUAGAUAGAAAAUACACAGAUGUGCCAGCCUCCUGAGAAGCACCAGCCAGUAAUAUAUGAUUUCUUUGAGCUUGGAUGAACAAGAUUCCUGGAAUUUGGGAUUCCUAGUGAUGGUUAGAAAAAAGAAUGAGUAGUCCUGGAACAGAGUGAUGCCCCAAGGAGACAGCCUGAACUCCCUGCUCAUAGUAGUGGCCUAAUAAUUUGAUAGGCUGAACCAACCCUGCCCUAAGCUUUAAUAGCAACCUCUGGGCUUAAAGGUGACAGAAUUUGGAAGUAAUUAGGUUUUAAUCUUUCCUUGAUUUUUCUCCCCCCUUAUCAUGAGGAAAGAUAAUUUAAAUAAUUGAGAUAUAUAUGAAAAUAAGGUGUUUUCAUUAAUAGCGUAUUGCCAGCUAUGUACACUGUCAGUUUUGAAGCAUUUUGUACAUCAGGGAUCAUCACACUCUUUCUAUAAAAGGUGAAAUGGUAAAUAUUUUAGUCUUGGCAGGCCUAUGGUCUCUACAUUUCGCUUCUUCACCCCACCCCAAUCCUUUAAAAAGGGAAACUAUUCUUAUCUCAUUAGCCAAGUGAAUUUGGUCUGUGGACCAUAGUUAACCCUGAUGUAAAUGCUGAAUAAUAUUAAUUUCCUUGUGUGAGUCUGUCCCUGUUCUAGGCACUAAGGACUCAAUGAUUAUUUAUCAUCACAUCCAGGUGACCUAAAUAAAAAUAAGUGAAUAUGCUUUUAAACUAUGAAAGUGCUUAAAGACUUAUAAGUUUCAGAGCUGGUAAAUAUUGAUUACAUAUCAACAGUAUGUAAUACUAUGCAGAUAUUAGGAAUUAAGUUAUUGAUCAAUGAAAAUUUCAUAUAUUUGUAGCCAUCAUGUUUCUGCUGCUUUGGUGAUUUUGAGUACAUACAGUAUUCCAAGUAGCAGAAAAGAAAACACAUAGAAACUGCUUUUAAACUGUAAAAUAUACAGCGAACACAAGGGAUCAAGCUAUUUUGAUGACUUACAAUGGGUCAGAUAACAUGCUAGACACCACGGAUAACAAAAAAAAAAAAACAAUCUCAAUAUAGAAGUAAAAUUUUCAGAUAAGAAAUGCAUUUUAAAGUGGUUUGUAAACUAAAGCACUAAAUAUCAAUGGGCUAAAUGUUAUGAAUGAAUGAAUGAAUGAAUGAAUAUUAACUGCCUUUUAUGUGCCAACUAUUGUUUUGGGUUCUGUGAAAUCUAAGGUAAUACUCCCCAAGUAAUAAGAGGGAGGUUUAUAUUGUAAGGAAAUUAGAUAAUGCUUAUUUUAAUCAAUCAAGCAAGACUUUACUGGUAAUAUCAGGUUAUUACCUGAUAACAGGAAAAUGUAAUGAAUGACCUUGAGCUUCCUAAACUAUAAAGUGCUGUGUAAAUACAACAUUAGGCAUUUUCUCUGUGGAUAAAACUUUUCGUGAGAUAAACAUUGUCUAUAAAAUUCACCCCCUAUGAGAGCGGUAGUAUAAAUAGUUAUACAAACUUGAGGGUUUGAAUACUUGUUAAAUGAAAGAAUAUCAGUUGCCUACUAUGUGAACUCACUAUUACAGGCACUAAAGAGAUACACACAUUUAUAAUUUUAUUGUGCCUACAGUUUAGAAUAAGGCAGUACAUGUUAGUAUUUUGUGAACUCUAAAGCACCAUAUAAAUGUCACUAUUGAUUUUUCUCACUUGGUGCAAAGUACGAUAAAAAUUUGAACUAUUAACUAUUGAACACUCUGAAUAUAAUAUGUAAAAGAUUAAAUUUAUGAUGAAUUCAAGACUGGACAAUAAUGUCUACUAUGUGCUAUGUGCCAGUCUUUUUGCUAGGCAUCGAGGACCUGAAGAUAAAACAUCUUUAUUGUGUCCUUGAUAGCUGAACAUAAUGUAUGAAGUCAAUUUAAAAGUCUUGAACUGCCAUACAUAUGUAAGCAAUAUCUCUUGUAUGAAUAUUGAUUAUUUACUCUCAUCCCCAGAGAUAACAACUAGUGAUGCAAAAAUUCAUCACCCUUAUUUUUCAUCACCAACCUGUAACAGAGAUCUAUGUUAGAAAUCCUAGUGUUCUAUAUUGAUAUAAGGAAUUAACUGUUGGCUUAAUGAAUGAUGAAUGAUAACUUUUUAUGAGGCUUAAAACUACACAUGCCCUAAUAUAUAAAUAUGAUUUCAUCCUUAUGGGAUGCUAACAGAAGGAAAUAAUGUAAUAGGUGUGAGCUCCAGACUAAAAAGUACUUAACUACUGCUAGGCUUAUUUAAUGAUAAAAACAUUGGGAAAAUAGAACUGUGCAAAGCAGUAUGCUAAAUGCUGAGCUACAUGGAAAGAUACAAUCCAGAUCAGAAAGCUACUUGCUUCCUUGCCUAAUUGAGGAGAUGGAUUAUUAUUAUUUUUUAAAGCAAGGUGUUCUUGUUCUCCAUCAGUUUUUUAAAUGCUGAAUGCUAAAGAUGGAGGUGAAUGAGCUCCACCUUAGCCUGGCUUAAAGACAUUUAAGAAGUAAAAAUAAAUGGCUCAGCAGUGCUUUUAGAUUUCAUUUGCUAAGCAUAGCAUAUUUUAUGUGCAAUAAAUCAUUCUAGUUCCUGAGCAUAAGAGCAGUGAAAUGGACCUAGUCUAAAGGUCUUUAGAUUGAACACAGAUCAUAGCUGCAGAUCUGAAAAUAUCUUUGAUUUUUUAGUAAAUAUUUGAGUGCCUGUUUUCAGGGAAGUACUAUGCUCAUUUAAUGAGGUAGGUAUGGAUCAGAAAUCCCAUUGACUUGCUUUGGAGAUUAAAAAAAAGAAGAAAAAAGUCAUGGUCCUUUUAAUUUAAUAUGAUAUUUUUCCCUAGUUCUGGAUAGUCUCAACUUCACAUGCUCAGUGACCUAAAUUAAAGCCAGUAGACUGUUAAAAAAGGCUCAAGAUUUCUCCUUUAAUUCAUUAAGUUUCUGCUUCUAUUAUAGUUUAAGACAAGAAUUAAGCUGAAACAACUGGUUUUAAAAAUACUUGCUCAUUGGCCUAGCUUAGAGUCAGGAAGCCACUUGAGCAAUAAAAACGAUUUUUUUUUCUGUAAAAAUUUAUUCACUCUGAAUAAAGUGCUGUCCUUACGUGCUGAGGAGAGUUAAGAGAUUCCAAAGACCAAACUGCACUUUCAUUUCACUAGCUUAUGGUUGAAACACCAAGAUCAAAUUUUAUUACUGCAGGUCUUUCAUUGAGCAACUAUGAUAUUAAGACACUGAGAAGGAAUGAUUAAAUAGAUCAUCUUCUCUUUGACAUGUUUUGUAGAGUGGGAAUGAGAGAGCUUCUUAUUUAUUCAUACAAACAUUGAAGAAAAUGAUGCUAAAAGAAAUAGAUCUGGUACAAAAGGCAUUUUAUCUUGGAGAUGCAAUAAAAAAGGAAUGGGAUAAAACAAACAGAAGUAUCUAUUUCAAGGCAUUGUGCUAAUUUCUAGACAGAAAACAAAAAAGUUCUUAACUAAAAGACACUUGUUUUUAACUAGCUUGGAGACUAGAAUAUAAAAGGUUACUUUUCAUUCGCUUUUUUUCAUUCAUUCAUUCUACAGGUAUAUUUGAGUGCCUAUUUUAUAUAAAGUAAUUUGUUAGAUACUCACUUGGCCCAAGAGACAUGAAAAAUGUAUGCUUUCUCAGGAAAAUUUUUAAAACUUUGCUUUUGGGUUGUUUUCUUGUUAGGGGUUGACUUAGACCCUGAGUAACAUUGUGUGGUUUAAUUCCUACUCCAUAUUUCUUCUAUUACUCUGGCCACUACAAUAAGCAGGGUUUUCCACUGAAAUAGCUCCUUAAGUUCCAGGAACCCUCUUUAGACCAUUUUUACUAGCUCAUGUAAAAUGAUUGGCUACUGUUGGAUAGAAGGAGAGAAGACAACUAAUUCCCAAACCCCAGUGUCAAUGGUACCAGCCUUGGAGAACCAUUCAUACUCAAGCCACAAUUGGUUUUGAAACAUUUAACAGUUUUUUCUAUUUUCAGUUCUUUAUCCUUUACAUUCUGACAAAUAUACACUGCCUAAAUGGAUCUGAGGAACAAUCCUCAGAUAGUACAUAUCAAGAUUGGAGAUGGAGACAUGAUUUUUCUUUAACAACAGAUUUUGACUUAAACUUUAGAAAUUGCCUCUCAGUAUCAAAACCUGGUCAUGAAAGGACUUAUGUAUGGCGGAAUAUGGUCAGUGAAUCAAAGUGGCUUAACAAUUUACCAAGCUUAAAUUUUAAAAGUAAUAAAAAUGAGAAAUAAUUGGCAAAGAUUGGAGGGAAAAAUACCAAACAAAAAAUUAAAAACCCAAACCUUUAAAUCCAGGCCCCACAGGGCUUUGACCUUUUCUAUUUUUAAAUCACUCACAGAGGGUGGGAUAGGAGGAAGAGUGAAAGAAAAGGUCAAACCUGUUUCUAAGGGCAGCCUGCCUAUUUUGGGGUUGGUCUUUAAGUUUUUGAGAAACACCCUUUUGGCAGAAUGAUGAUAUUAUCAAUUGAGUCUUGAGUUAGAUAAUUAAUGUGAUUUAUCAAUUAAAUCAAUUUGGCCUCCAUCAUAAAGUAGUGUUAAAUCUAAAAGCAAAGAGAACUUUACAGUUCACUGUAAUUUAUAAUACUUUAAAACAAUAUAUACUUGAGUUUACAUGGCAAGCCAUCAAUAAUAUGCAUAAAUGGAGAAGAAAAUAAAUGUGGAGGUAGCACAUUUGAGAAUUUGGGAGGAUUUUCUGAUUUUUGCUGUGUACAUUUUAAUUUUGCCAUCAGGUACAUCUGUAAUGUUUGACUUUUAAUAUGUAGUAUCAGCUGGACUCAGUAACACUCCUUUCUUCAGUUGGGGGUGGGUCUUCAUUUUUGGAAAGUGCAAAGAAAAAAGUAACUACAGGCCUUCCUUUUGCAGUUUCUGGCAUCUUGAGACUACCACUACUGAUAAAACAAGAAUAAGAGAACAUGCUACCAUCAUCUGAUUUUUUUGGCAUAAAUAAAGUAGUAAACAAAUCCAUUUUUGUAAGGAUGGCUUUAUCUCCACCCUUCUACCUCAAAGGGAAUAUAUGCCAAAAUGCUUCAUUAAAUGAAAGAAACACUGACUUGUGAACAGAUGUGAAAUGAGAAUCUCAGCCUUGGGUGAUUUGAAGAUUGACAAAUCUUGCUCAGCAUGGGUGACAUCAAAAAGCAAUCUAAACCCAUCACAUGACACAACUGAGAUAAAUUGGGGAGUAUUUUUUCUAAUGUCAA
Molecule: long non-coding RNA, 9873 nt
Organism: Eptesicus fuscus (big brown bat)
Lineage: Eukaryota; Metazoa; Chordata; Mammalia; Chiroptera; Vespertilionidae
Exons: 6
Source: RefSeq, a predicted model, not a curated record